UAUACUUUUUCUAUUGUCAUAGAGUAGGUUUUUUUAAUUAAUAUAUACUAGUGUAGAGACCCGCGCGAUACAGCGGGUAAAUAAUAAAAGCAAAAUUUAAAAAUUUUAAUAAAAUUUAUAUUUACGACUUAUUGAUAUAUAGAAAGUUAUACCAUGUUAAGUACAGUCAAUUUACAUGUCAAAAUUUAACUGUUAAAAAAAUAAAAUUAUAGCUAAAACCACUCAUUGAUAGAAUAUUAAUAUGGUGCAUAUAAUUAAAUGUUGCAUCUUGCAUGUAAUUAGAGAAGUGGGGAGGUAGAGGGUUGGACGUUGAGAAGAGGAGAAGGUGGUUCGAUUUAAAGUUUAGACUAUGCAAAUGAAGGGUGGCAUGUCAUGUGGCAAAAAAAUUUUUUAUGGUCUAUACAAAAGAGUUACAAAAGAAAGAGGAUGAGAGAUUAAUGGAGAAGGGGAGUAGAUUAAAGUUAUAAAGCCCAUAGAAUAUUAAUAUGGUACAUAUAAUUAAAUAUUACACCUUACAUGUAAUUAGCGGAGUGGGGAGGUGAAGGGUUGGACGUUGAGAAUGAAAGGUAACAUACCACAUGUCAAAAGAUAUUGUGGGUUCAUAUAGGUUUAUAGAUAUAUGGUUGUGGUUUGCUGGUUGUGGUCCCAUU
Molecule: long non-coding RNA, 650 nt
Filed under: Ananas comosus (pineapple)
Lineage: Eukaryota; Viridiplantae; Streptophyta; Magnoliopsida; Poales; Bromeliaceae
Description: long non-coding RNA (ACOM_LNC042536)
Source: RNAcentral